Molecule: long non-coding RNA, 202 nt
Filed under: Dromaius novaehollandiae (emu)
Lineage: Eukaryota; Metazoa; Chordata; Aves; Casuariiformes; Dromaiidae
Description: lncRNA (ENSDNVG00000014442.1)
Source: RNAcentral
CACUGUGUUUACAGAUAAUCCAGCAAGUUUGCAGGCCAAAUGGCUCUCUAAAUCUAAGUCCACAAAGCACUGAAUGACACAGCAUGCUGCUCAGGGAGAUUCCAGCACAGCUCACCAGAAGCUCUCUUGUUUUCAACAACUGAUCCACGGUUAAUAGUGAUUAGCAUGGCGCAUCUGAGCUCCUGCUUUACUAAGCGUAAUG